Molecule: ribosomal RNA, 253 nt
Filed under: uncultured bacterium
Lineage: Bacteria
Description: partial 16S ribosomal RNA
Rfam family: Bacterial small subunit ribosomal RNA
Source: RNAcentral
UACGUAGGGGGCUAGCGUUGUCCGGAAUCAUUGGGCGUAAAGCGCGCGUAGGCGGCCCGGUAAGUCCGCUGUAAAAGUCAAAGGCUCAACCUUUGAAUGUCAGUGGAUACUGCCGGGCUAGAGUCCGGAAGAGGCGAGUGGAAUUCCUGGUGUAGCGGUGGAAUGCGCAGAUAUCGGGAAGAACACCCGUGGCGAAGGCAGGUCUCUGGGCUGACACUGACGCUCAUGCACGAAAGCGUGGGGAGCAAACAGG